Molecule: transfer RNA, 77 nt
Filed under: Clostridiales bacterium
Lineage: Bacteria; Bacillati; Bacillota; Clostridia; Eubacteriales
Description: tRNA-Arg
Rfam family: tRNA
About the family: Transfer RNA (tRNA) molecules are approximately 80 nucleotides in length.
Source: RNAcentral
GCACCCGUAGCUCAGUAGGAUAGAGCACUGGUUUCCUAAACCAGGUGUCGGGGGUUCGAAUCCCUCCGGGUGUACCA